GCUUCACUGUUUCCUGGGAUUGACUUUGGGCUUUUCCUACGCAGCUUAGGUGGAGGGCAAAGAAGGCCUUCUUCUGGGGGGGCCAGAGCCAUCAGUGAGAUACACUCUGGAAGAGCUAGAAUUCUAACCUUGUGCCAGGACCUACGGGCCGGGGGACAGUCUCAGGUAGACAGUUUCUAUGGGGCGUAGGCCUCCCCAAAGGUAACGGAAACGUGCAAAGGUUUCUUCGGACCAGACGGAGAUUGGCCCUUGAGUGCAAAGGCAGAACGAUUGUUAGGGCGUCUUGAAGUUUCUAGAGCUUUUGGAGAUCGCCAGUUUAAAAAGGUUUGCCUCAUUCAAAGAUAGGC
Molecule: non-coding RNA, 347 nt
Filed under: Vigna radiata var. radiata (mung bean)
Lineage: Eukaryota; Viridiplantae; Streptophyta; Magnoliopsida; Fabales; Fabaceae
Description: Bacterial large subunit ribosomal RNA
Rfam family: Bacterial large subunit ribosomal RNA
Source: Rfam by way of RNAcentral